UAUAAACUGCCACCGGGUAGUAUAUGCGCAGAGCAUUCAAUGCACAUCGUCAGGUCUUAGAAGAUGUGUGUUGGAUGCUUUUUUCGGA
This 88-nucleotide non-coding RNA is filed under the name unclassified sequences. The record is from RNAcentral.